CAUUAGAUGACUGAAAGCAA
This 20-nucleotide transfer RNA is filed under the name Aedes aegypti (yellow fever mosquito). RNAcentral's name for it is "partial tRNA-Lys". The record is from RNAcentral. Lineage: Eukaryota; Metazoa; Arthropoda; Insecta; Diptera; Culicidae. RNAcentral also lists the same sequence under 18 other names.